This 100-nucleotide signal recognition particle RNA is filed under the name Arachidicoccus rhizosphaerae. RNAcentral describes it as "Bacterial small signal recognition particle RNA". It matches the Rfam family "Bacteroidales small SRP", at positions 9 to 102 of the family's 107-position model. From Rfam's summary of the family: The non-coding component of the signal recognition particle in Bacteroides Lineage: Bacteria; Pseudomonadati; Bacteroidota; Chitinophagia; Chitinophagales; Chitinophagaceae. The record is from RNAcentral.
CGGCAGGUCUCACACGGCCAGCUCCUACUGAACCCUCCCAGGGCCGGAAGGCAGCAAGAGUAGGUGGUCGUAGCGGCGCGAUGUGAGUAGCCUGCCUUCU